This is a long non-coding RNA of Athene cunicularia (burrowing owl), 145 nucleotides long. RefSeq lists it as uncharacterized. The transcript has 3 exons. The record is from RefSeq and is a predicted model, not a curated record. NCBI's taxonomy places the organism in Eukaryota, Metazoa, Chordata, Aves, Strigiformes, Strigidae.
UGAUAUCAAAGGCCUUAGAGUCCCUGCCCAGCUUUCCUAUAGCCCCCUUUAAGUCCUAGGUGGCCGCUCUAAGGUCUCCCUGGAGACUUCUCCAGGCUGAACACCCCCAGCGCUCUCAGCCUGUCCUCACAGCGGAGGUGCUCCA